AACGAACGCUGGCGGCGUGCCUAACACAUGCAAGUCGCACGAGAAACACGUCCUUCGGGGCGUGGAGUAAAGUGGCGCACGGGUGAGUAACACGUGGGUAACCUGCCCUUGGGACUGGGAUAACUGGCCGAAAGGCCCGCUAAUACCGGAUAAGACCACACGAGCUUCGGCUCAAGGGGUCAAAGUCGGCCUCUCGAUGAAGCCGGCACCUGAGGAUGGGCCCGCGGACCAUUAGCUAGUUGGUGAGGUAACGGCUCACCAAGGCCGAGAUGGGUAGCUGGUCUGAGAGGAUGAUCAGCCACACUGGAACUGAGACACGGUCCAGACUCCUACGGGAGGCAGCAGUGAGGAAUAUUGCGCAAUGGAGGAAACUCUGACGCAGCAACGCCGCGUGGGUGAAGAAGGCUUUCGGAUUGUAAAGCCCUGUCAGGCGGGAAGAAACCUUUGCAGGUGAAUAGUCUGUGAAGCUGACGGUACCGCCAAAGGAAGCACCGGCUAACUCCGUGCCAGCCGCCGCGGUAA
Molecule: ribosomal RNA, 522 nt
Filed under: uncultured bacterium
Lineage: Bacteria
Description: partial 16S ribosomal RNA
Rfam family: Bacterial small subunit ribosomal RNA
Source: RNAcentral